RNAcentral lists this ribosomal RNA (381 nucleotides) under Triticum aestivum (bread wheat). Its description in RNAcentral is "partial small subunit ribosomal RNA". The record is from RNAcentral. Lineage: Eukaryota; Viridiplantae; Streptophyta; Magnoliopsida; Poales; Poaceae.
AUGCCGCCGCGGGGCUCUCGCCGGCGGAGUUCCGCCUGGCCCUCCCGCGCGACCUCCCGUUCUUCCACGUGGAGGUGCCUCGCUCGCUUCCACCGCGCCACCUCCAUGGACCUCGCCGCGCACUACCUCCACCUCUUGCUGUCACGCAUCAGCAGGUUCCCCGCGCUCCAGAGACUGUCCCUCUCGUCCCCCCGCGUCGACCUCGCCGACUUGCUCCACAGCUGCCCGUGCCUGCGGGUGCUCAGGGUGGCCGACGGGUUCCUCGACAGCAACAUCGCCAUCAAAUCGGAGUCUUGGGAGGAGCUCGCUGCGGAGAGCCUGAACAAAUGGACAGACUGUAUCUACAUCGAGGCGCCUAUGCUCAAGAAAUUGGCAGUGUGA